RNAcentral lists this ribosomal RNA (1081 nucleotides) under Apheloria sp. LS-2010. Its description in RNAcentral is "partial 16S ribosomal RNA". Lineage: Eukaryota; Metazoa; Arthropoda; Diplopoda; Polydesmida; Xystodesmidae. The record is from RNAcentral.
UAUGUUUUAGGUUUUUACUUUGGUUGUUAGAAAAAUUUUUUUUAGUAGUUUGAGCGAAUUUUAUUGGUUUCCUAGAGAGGAUUGAGUACUGAGAAGGAAAGUUAAAUUAUUUAUUUGGAAUAUUGGGUUUUUUAGUACCUUUUGUAUUAGGGUUGAUUUAUGUGGUUUUGCUUUUGUUAUUUCUCGAUGAGUAUCGGGCUAUUUUUCUUUGGUUUAUUCUCGUUGUAUAGAGUUGAAUAGAGGAUUAUAGGUAUGAAAUAUUAUUCAAGUUGCUUUUUAUCUGGUUCUUCAAGAAAUUUAAUAGUUGGUAGUAUUAUUAGGACGAUAGACAGGGAUUAGCUUGUUUAUUUUUUAUAUUUGGUUUAGGUUGAAGUUUGUUUGUUAAGUUGAUAGUGCUUAUUUUAAUGGAGUUAUUAUUGAGCAGGUUGAUUUUAUUAUUUUUUGUUUUUAUUUUUGUAUUGGGGUUAUUUUAUUAAUUUUUAGUGUUUUGUAAUAAUGAUUAUAUUAGUAAUAAUUUUUUGUUAUUUUUUUAGUUUUCUGGUUUUAUUGUUAUUUUGGUGGUGUUUUAAAUUAGAACUGAUGAAUUAGGCAAUACGAACUUCUGACUGUUUAGCAAAGACAUUGUUUUUUGUUGUGGUAAAAAAUAAGUUCUGUCCACUGCUAUUAGGUGAAGGGCUGCAGUAUUUUGACUGUAUGAAGGUAGCAUAAUCAUUAGCUUUUUAAUUAGAAGCUGGUAUGAAGGUGAAACAGGGGUUUGCUGUAUUUUUUCUAUUUGUUGAAUUUUAUUUUCAUGUGAAAAAUCAUGAUUGAUUUAAUGGGACAAGAAGACCCUAAUAAGUUUUAUUUUUUUUCUUAAUGCGUGUAUAGUUUUGGAUUUAUGCAAUUUAUUUGGGGGGAGUUUGGCUGGGGCGGCAGUUUAUUUGACAUAGAUUAAUUUUUAACUUUUUGUGGCGACUUGUUUGGACCUAGUUUGUUUAGAUUAGAGUUAAACUACUGUAGGGAUAACAGCGUGAUUUUUUUUGAGAGUUCUAAUUGACAAUAAAGUUUGCGACCUCGAUGUUGGAUUAAGAAGAGCGUUGGC